GCAUAUCUAACUGGUGACAUACUUAGCUCUACACAACAUUAUACUAACCAUGUAAUACCAAAUUAAACAAAACAGACUAACAUAAUAACUAAAAAUAUAGUGACUAACACAUAAUCAAGCAAACAAAAAAAAACUAAAAUAGAGUGAAAGGAUAGAAGACUAAUAAACCUAACAACCACAAACUAGAAACUGAAACAAGCUGCAUUGAAACCCAAAGUGAGAGAUAUAAGGAUUUCACUGAGUUAUCAUUGGUAGAUGAAGAUGCCUUUUAAUUUCUUCUCAUUAAGUCCACAGAAAAAAUAAAAGGAAGGUCGGGAAAAGAUGAAACAAUUGAAGAUGCAGCACAGUGUGAGACAGUGGAGGAAGCUGGAAUACAAGGUGAAGUUGAGUGCAAACUGGGAGAGGAAGAUGGUACUUUUAGAACAAAAGCGGUGACAUUGCCUGUGAAGGGCACAUGUUCCCUUUGUUAGUAACAGAACAACUAGACUCUUUGACCGAGAAAUAGAUUUGGGAAUGAAAUUGGUGUAAAAUGGGAAGAUGGCACUUUGAGAACAAAGCCGGUGACACUGCCUAUGAAGGCAAUGUGUUUCCUCUGUUUGUAACAGAACAACUAGACUAUUGUCCCGAGAAAGGGAUUCGCGAAAGAACUUGGAUGAGUGUGCACGAAGCAAGAAAAUUUUGCCCAAAUGGGGCCGCAGAACUAUUAGUAAGUCGCCUCACAUCACAAAGCAAACAGACCAAAGGGGAACUAUUUCCAGUAAUCGAACGUAGCUCCGUUGUUUGAGUAGCUAUUCUUCCUUUUAGAUUUGGAGCUCAAAUACUUUCUCUGCCCCUUCCAAGUUCUACUGAAGAAGUGUAGACUUUAUUGAUACCGAUCCACUGUCAAAUCUACAUGUGGUAGAAAUAGUUAGCGGAUAGGAACUAAUUACUAAAAUUGGUCAAUCUAGCAGGUGGAUUAAAUAGUUCACAGCAACUCCAUUGUUAAGGGAACAACGAAAAAAAGUACUGGAAGUAUAAUUUUUGUUAUCUCAGAAUUGGAGUUGUGUGACAUAAUAGAUAAUUAGAAUCAGAGCUAUCAAAGGAGGUGAACAUGUACAUAGCUACCAGAUAUAUUGAUGUUGGAAAAUAACUGCAUCGAAUUAUUGGAUUUUCUCUUGAUUUUCUAAUUAUUUUUCCCUAGAUCUCUAGCAUUCUUUAAUUCUUCAUAUUGCUGGCAAAGCUAGAAGGUUACAGUCAUUUAUCAUAACAUUCAGAAGGUCUAAUAGGUUUUAAUUUUGCUUGAAUAUUACGCAUUCAGAUGAUAAAAAAAGUUGCACAGGAUUUUUUUAGUAUCAAGCUUACUCUGGAAGCCAUUAUUUUGCAUUUUUUAGGACCAAGUUUCAGAUUUUGACUUUGUUGUUUAUAUGAUUUAUGUGGAAAGAUGUAUUUUUUUUUGUUAAGGUUGUAGUCACUUUAUUAACUAUACCUGUUCCCCUGGUCAUGUCUUCUGCUGAUGUAUACCCUACCAAUAUAAAUAUUUCACCGUGUUAUCAUUGGUGGAUGAAGAUGCCUUUGAUGUUUGUCUAAUAAGUCCACACAGAAAAGGCAAAGGGUUGUUAUUUCCCAAAGGUAGCGACUGAUCCAUGGGUUUAAAACUUCUUAAUAUUUCCCAAAAAAGGUAUCAUUUUGAUGCUCUCUCUGAUUGUUAUAUUAGAGCUUAUCUCUUUUUUAAAUACAUCUCUCUUGUUCUAACAGGGAGGUCGGGAAAAAGACGAAACAAUCAAAGAUGCAGCAGAACGUGAGCUAGUGGAGGAAGCUGGAGUAUGAGGGGAUGUUAAGAGCAAACUGGGAAGAUGGUACUUUAGAAUGGAAAUGUUGACACUGCCUAUGAAGAGAACAUGUUUCCUCUGUUUGUAACAGAACAACUCUUGGCCUGAGAAAGAGACUCAUGAAAAAACUUGAUGAAUGUGCGUGAAGCCAGAGAACUUUGCCAAAAUGGGUGCAUGAAAGAGGCCGUAGAGCUAUUAGUAAGUCGCUUAACAUCACUGAGCAAGCGGACCAAAGGGGAAUUAUUUCCAGGAAUAGAACGUACCUCCAGUGGUAGAGCAACUAUUCUUCCUUUGGCAUGUAGAGAUCGAGAAGCGUAGACUCCAUUGAUAUCCGCUGUCAAAUCUAAAUACUAGAAGAAGUUUAUGAAUAUGAAUCACUGAAAAUGGUUAAUCUAGCAUGCGGAUUAAGUAGUUCAGAUCAACUCCAAUUUUAAGGAAACAAAGAAGUACGAAAUGUAGUCAUAAUAGUACACUGUUUGAUUGUUAUCUCAGAACUGGAAUAAUUAGUAGUAACCUACAAAUAAGCUUAAUGAAGUAAUGAUCAUUUGUAAAUAGCUACUUGAAACAGUGGUGUUAGAAAAUUAUUGCAUUUAGUUAUUGAAUGUUCUCUUUGAUUUCUAAGCUUAAUGAAGUAAUGAUCAUUUGUAAAUAGCUACCUGAAACGGUGGUGUUAGAAAAUUAUUGCAUUUAGUUA
Molecule: long non-coding RNA, 2502 nt
Organism: Lycium barbarum (goji berry)
Lineage: Eukaryota; Viridiplantae; Streptophyta; Magnoliopsida; Solanales; Solanaceae
Exons: 8
Source: RefSeq, a predicted model, not a curated record